RNAcentral lists this long non-coding RNA (1200 nucleotides) under Malus domestica (apple). RNAcentral's name for it is "long non-coding RNA (MDOM_LNC019594)". Lineage: Eukaryota; Viridiplantae; Streptophyta; Magnoliopsida; Rosales; Rosaceae. The record is from RNAcentral.
UAGCCUAUUUUCGUUGUUAGCCACAUUACCCCGACCUAGCCUAGAAUAAGACUAUCCAUACCCUUGUUCUUAAAGUAUAGUGGAGCAUGACUUAGAGGGAAUUCCUUUUAAUCAAACAUAUUGCAGAAAUCAAGUGUGGGGGAAGGUUAUGUACACGAGUUGAAAGAGAAAAGAAAAAAAAACGUGAAAAAGAAGAAAAUGUGGAAAAAGAAAGAAAAAAGUUGUGAAAUAAGUGAGAAAGAACUCACAAGUAUUUGUUGUUGAAGAAAGGGUCCAAAAAGUUUGAAUAUGACCCUAAGUAUGUACGAAAUCCCUUUAGUGUUUCAAGUUAUUUGCUGCAUUCAAAAGUGAAUUCUAAGUGUCAAUUUCAUUAUUUUGCUUACUAUUGCUUUAAGAACUUUCGUUUAUCCUUAACCUUUCUUUGUUAGCCAAUACCCUUAGCCCCGUUACAACCCUUUGACUUUAUCUUGGUUGUUGUGUGUUUUGAUAUGUGGAGUUUGGGAUUGGUAUAAGCAUACGGUAUCCCUGGUGUUGGAAGUAUGCCCACAAAGCCACUCAUUUGAUGUAAUAACUUUUGGAAUACUUAAUGUAUUAAACUAUUAUAUGUUUAAUGAAGGGCAAAGCUUAUUGUUAAUCACUAUUUAUUGUAUCAUGUGUUUAAGCAAUAAAGGAAUCCAAGGAAUGUAUUUGAUCUAAGAGAGAAGUGAUUUAAGUAAGUUAGAUUAACGAGACAUUUCUCUUAUGUUCAUUCCUAAAACGUUCCUAGCCAUAGGAUUGCCAAUUGGGCAUUGACAAUCCGCUAAGGUUAGUAUGUGUUAUGUCAACUCAAGCGUGAGUAUGACUAGUCUCAAGUCAUUUAGUGUUGGACACUAAGACAAACACAUAGGUGCUUGAAAGAGUAAUCAAGUACACUGAACAACGAUAAAAAGAGAGUUUGAACAUACAUGUCAUGUAAGAACUCAAUAGUUGCAAUAUGCAAAGUAGUCCUUUGACCUGAGGCAUCAUAGAUGUCUAAUGGUUAGGUCCUUGAUCUUUGAUCAUGUCAAAGGCAUUCCAUCGAGAAUGUCCACGGCAUUGUUGGGGUCAAGCUAUCUAGUCAUGUAGGCAUAUGAAUGCACAACAAGGGAUCUCUAACCAUCCAUGGUGGAAGGAGAAUACUCUAAGAUAUGAUUCGGGAGUCUUUGGCCAAAGCAUACGAAU